GCUAGGUCUAGAGGGAAGUUGUGAG
This 25-nucleotide small nuclear RNA is filed under the name Arabidopsis thaliana (thale cress). Its description in RNAcentral is "snRNA_06282". The record is from RNAcentral. Lineage: Eukaryota; Viridiplantae; Streptophyta; Magnoliopsida; Brassicales; Brassicaceae.